RNAcentral lists this long non-coding RNA (864 nucleotides) under Bemisia tabaci. RNAcentral's name for it is "lncRNA ENSSSA3NGG010538". The record is from RNAcentral. Lineage: Eukaryota; Metazoa; Arthropoda; Insecta; Hemiptera; Aleyrodidae.
AGAGUUCAAAAUUCCGGUUGAAACUUCACCGCGUAGCUAGGUGCUAACCAUAAACUGCUUAAAAUUUCAGUGAGAUAUAGCUUGGUCGAAAUUUCAAAACACGUUUGUCGAAUUGUGUAAAGAAGUCAAAUUUAGGACUUGGAAGGCAAACUUCUGAAUACAAUACCUAAGUUGAUGAACAUAUGAUACGACGUGACAAGCUUUUAUUAUGGGUCAAAAAGUGCCGCAUAGAGAAAGAAAGAACAGCGGACGACCGAAGAGAUGAAAGAAGUUCGGAGACGUUUGCAGGAGAAAAACUCUAAUGAAAUUACAAUUUUCAUUGUACACAAGUCCUAAAAACCAGCAGGUAACCAUGAGUAUGAGCUGCUAUUGCUCAAAGCUACUGAAGUAAAGGAAAGCCCUGAUAUUACAAUUGAUGUAAGAAAAAAGCUUCAAAUUCGGUGGAGACACACUAAAUUCAAAUUCCAACGUCAUCAGUAAGCUAUUAUUAUACUUAAUUAUAGUAUAGAUUAUUUAUUAAAGAAAAGAGGAGCUGUAAAAAUGAAAAAAUUCAAUUCGUGAGUUACACAUGUAAUAUCGACGGUGAAACUACCAAACCACGUAUCUCGGUUUGCGACGUCGCAGACUUCCUGUCAUACUUUAUUUUUUAAAUGAAAAACUACUUAACGUCCAGUCUUGAAAAUUUCUGUGAUUUUUCCUCUUUGUGCGGAGAAAAUUCUGUGAAAAUUUCAAGAAAUGAUAUUGAUUUGGUCCAUUUAAAAUAAAAUAAAUGUGAGCGUAGAUUUUUAAACACCGCAAACGAGAUACGUGGUUUGGUAGUUUCACCGUCGAUAUGCUUCAUCGAUGCAAUAAUUAAUUUGAUAA